GGGAUGAAGAAUGGGCAGAGAAAAUCCACAGUGCAGGCAUGGGGAUUAAUGGCAUUUGGCACUUAGCUGCAGGGUUUGGGGGACAACAGGGAGUGGUGGGAUGGUGGUUAAGUAAGGGUGCAUGCCCCACCUGAAGCUCUACAGUGGCUCAGCUCCAACUGAGUGUUGCCAUGGGAAAAUCUGAUGGGGCCAGAUCUGAUCCUUCAGAGAAUGAGGAAUUCCAGGUUGUUAUGUGAAUUCUCACAAUUUGUAAAUGUCGGCUUGCCAUUCAGCUUUUUUGUUUGUUUGUUUUAAAUAAUAUCAUGUGGGUCAAACAAACUAUGUUAAUGGUAGCCAUCUGGCCUGGGGCUAGUAGCUUAUUGCCUCUGGCCAGUGGUGUGCUAACAAAAGUUUAACCAGCAGCUCUCCAACAAAAAAGGGAGGUGGGCUGCUCUGCCUAUGCAGUAGCCAUGCUUUUAUUCCUUUACUUUGUUAAUAAACUUGCUUUCACUUUA
RNAcentral lists this long non-coding RNA (494 nucleotides) under Homo sapiens (human). Its description in RNAcentral is "non-protein coding lnc-C21orf62-2:1". Lineage: Eukaryota; Metazoa; Chordata; Mammalia; Primates; Hominidae. The record is from RNAcentral.